RNAcentral lists this ribosomal RNA (114 nucleotides) under Escherichia coli. RNAcentral also lists the same sequence under 10 other names. Lineage: Bacteria; Pseudomonadati; Pseudomonadota; Gammaproteobacteria; Enterobacterales; Enterobacteriaceae. The record is from RNAcentral.
UGGCGGCAGUAGCGCGGUGGUCCCACCUGACCCCAUGCCGAACUCAGAAGUGAAACGCCGUAGCGCCGAUGGUAGUGUGGGGUCUCCCCAUGCGAGAGUAGGGAACUGCCAGAC